GCCCUCUCCUAUCUCAGUGAGGCAGACUUUUUGAGGUAGAAAGGAAAUAAUGGGUACUCACUGGUCAAAUCUCAUAGCGCUGAUUGGUGCCUGAGCAUGUGGUAGCCAUCCACAGGAAACUCAUCAAAAAGCAACAGAAAGUUCUUCCACUUGCGGUGUUUCUACUUAUGUGCAUUGCUGACCUUCAGUUAGCUUUGUGAAGCAUUUCGCACAGGGGAAACAUCUCAGCGUUGUGCUAGCUCAGAACCUACUGAAUUAAAGGAAAGGAUCUUGUGAAAUGCUCUGCUUUCCUGCACUGUGACUUGCUCUUCUCCUGUGCAGCCAGUUUAGUGUUCUACAACUGAAAUAGAAACAGCCCCUGGGGAGAAAAGGACCUCUCUCCAUCCCAGGAUGAGACUCAUCUGAAGAUUUUGCGCUUCCUUGAGUUAGAAAUCAUGAACAGGGACAUUAACAGGAAAACAAUAGUAGAGCACCCAGAAGAUUCAAACAGCAGGAAGAUAACUUUGCCAAAAAAUAGGUCUUGCCCAAAUAUAUGUGCAGCAAUGAAUCUGGAAUCAAAUCCAAAAGAAAACAAGAGAAGAAAUAUUCCUGCUAGUACAUAUGGUUUUAGCAAAGAUUUGACAAGGAAGGGCAGCAAUGAGUUAAAAUCUCCCUCCAAAAUAUCACAUGAGGAGGAAGGUGAUUAUGAGACUGUAAGUAGUUCCACUCUGGAAGCCAUGCAUGCUUUGAGAAUUCUUCCAGCCAAACCUCUACAAGAAUCUGAAUAUGCAGACACACGUUGUUUAAAGCCUUUAGGUACCACUUCCCGUGUGACUAACCAGCACACAUCUUCUCAGCCUCCUCAAUACUUGACUGUAAGUAAAGAUAUUAAGCCUAAUUCAUGAUAUAUUUCUCCUUAUCUGUGAUAGUGCUUAAAGUUAAGUGCAGCUUACCUAUAAUCUUAGCCAAAUAACAUUUAAUUUUUACAAGUUCACAACAGUUGCAUUGUGUUCCUGUUUCACUUUGCAACAAAUAUUAUUGUUGUUGUCCUUGUAACUUACGGGAACCAUAUCAACUGUAUCUAUCUAUAUAUAUCUAAGUAUACUUAUGUCAUACCUAUAUUUAUGGGAGACAAUCAGCCCCACAACUGUGCUUAAUGCCUAACCCUGCUGCUUUCACUUAUUAACUGCACAAGAUCAAGACUGGAUCUACAAAGGAAGCAUUUGGAGGCAUCUCAGUCAAGAACAACACUGUUUCUGUUAGCUAUAGUUUCAUGUGUAAUGACUAACAUCGUAUCUUGAUUUUAUUUUAUUAACAGAAACACAUGUCCAUUCUAGAGGGGAUGAG
This 1326-nucleotide long non-coding RNA is filed under the name Struthio camelus australis. RNAcentral describes it as "lncRNA (ENSSCUG00000016067.1)". The record is from RNAcentral. Lineage: Eukaryota; Metazoa; Chordata; Aves; Struthioniformes; Struthionidae.